Molecule: ribosomal RNA, 421 nt
Filed under: uncultured bacterium
Lineage: Bacteria
Description: partial 16S ribosomal RNA
Rfam family: Bacterial small subunit ribosomal RNA
Source: RNAcentral
AAUAUUUGACAAUGGUCGAAAGCCUGAUACAGCCAUGCCGCGUGUUUGAAGAAGGNCUNNGGAUUNUNAAGCACUUUAAGUUGNNNNNAAUGGCAGUAAGUUAAUACCUUGCUGUUUUGACGUUACCGACAGAAUAAGUACCGGCUAACUUCGAGCCAGCAGCCGCGGUAAUACGCAGGGUGCAAGCGUUAAUCGGAAUUACUGGGCGUAAAGCGCGCGUAGGUGGUUUGUUAAAUUGGAAGUGAAAUCCCCGGGCUUAACCUGGGAACUGCUUUCAUAACUGCUGAGCUAGAGUACGGUAGAGGGUAGUGGAAUUUCCUGUGUAGCGGUGAAAUGCGUAGAUAUAGGAAGGAACACCAGUGGCGAAGGCGACUACCUGGACUGAUACUGACACUGAGGUGCGAAAGCGUGGGGAGCAAAC